GUACAGCAGCAAUAUUUGCACCAGUACUAUUUAUUUAUUUUUCGUGGUGCUGAAGUUUCACUACCCUUGUUAUAUACUGAUGGUCACUAAUUCCUGUGGAUACUGCUUAACAUCUUUUUACAGAUUUUCAUUUACUUUUUAUUUUUCUUAACAAGAACCUAAUUUUUUCGUUGAGUAAAUGUUUCAAUGAUUAAAUGAAAAGUGACUGAUGCCUAAAGAAAAAAUGUAAAGUCAUAUGGAAGUGAAUAAGGAACAUAAAUGAGAAAAAAAAAGUCAGAAGUAUUCCAAAAAAAAAAAAACUGAAAGAAUAAUCUUACAAAGAACUUGAGGCGCCAAUCAAAUUUGUAUCUUCAAAAACCAUAAGAGCUUAGAGAACAAAAAAAAAAAAAAAAAGAACCUAAUUCUCCCAUAACAAGAACCUAAUUCUCCUCCUACUAUAUUGGUGGAUUAUUGGUGGUCUAACAUUGCAUUCCCGGUCCAAUUUUACCUUGUCCUCAAGGUGGAAAUCAGGAAAAGACUGCUGAAAAUCGUCAUAAUUCUCCCAAGUGGCCUCAUGUUUUGGCAACCCCUUCCAGCUUAUUAAAACCUCCCAAACGCCUUUACUAUUCUUCUUGAUAUCCAUAAAUCUCAUCAGGUUCAGGGUUUUCAGUCAAAAAGGGUACCCACUCCACCUUAUCCUUGCAUUCCCCAAAGGCUUUCUUCAACUGUGAAAUGUGGAACACUGGAUGUAUUGUUGCUGAAGUAGGGAGUUUAAGUUUAUAAGCUACAUAACCAAUCUUCUUCAGAAUACGAUAAGGACCGAAGUACUUAGGGGACAACUUCUCAUUCCUUCUUUUUCGCAUAGAAACCUGUCGGUAGGGUCUGAUUUUUAAGAAAACCAUAUCUCCUUCAAAUUCUACAUGUCUUCUCUUCAUAUCUGCAUAACUCUUCAUCUUUUCUUGAGCUAUUCGCAAAUGCUCCUUCAAAGCCCCUAAAGAGACAUCCCUUUCUUUAAGUUGCUCAUCAAGCGUGGAGUUUGGAGUCUCUCUGUCUCCAUAGUAAAUAAGGGCCGGUGGCGUUCUUCCAUAGCUUGAAAAGGAGUCACACCCAAGGAUCGCUGGUAUGUAGUAUUAUACCAAUAUUCUAUCCAAGGAAUCCACUUCACCCACUCUUUUGGUCUCUCUCCACAAAAACAGAAAUAUUUUGUCACGAUCGGAAACAAUGGAUUGGGGAAAUCCAUGCUGUCUUACUACUUCCUUAAUAAACAACUCAGCCACCACUUUAGCAUCGAAUGGGUGUUUUAGACUUAGAAAAUGACCAUAUUUACUAAACCGAUCCACCACCACCAAGAUAACUCCAUACCCCCACAACUUUGGCAGCCCUUCAAUGAAAUCCAUUGAAAUAUCUUCCUCACACUCUACUUGGAAUCUCCAACGGAACCAGUAAUCCCGCAGGUGUAAGGACCGAUGUCUUAUUUAUUUGGCAAAGGCACAUUCUUUGCAGUAUUUGUAACUUCUCAUUUCAUGCCCUCCCAAAACAGCUCUCCGGUCAAUCUCUUGUAUGUUCUUAGGAAUCCCAAAUGGCCCCUAAGGACAGAAUCAUGAUAGGUAUGCAUAACGUUAGGAAUCAAUGAAGAAGUCUUUGCAAUCACCAACCUUCCUUUAUAUCUAAGUAUACCCUGCUGUAAGGAAUAAUUUUUAACUUCUUCAUUCUGUGGCUUCAUGAUUAUUUCUUUCAACUUCCCAUCCCUAUCUACCUCCUCCUUAAUAAUUUUCAGAUCAAUCAACGUCGGGGCCGUUAACUGAUUAAGGAAUACCGUGGGUGGUACUCGAGACAGGGCAUCUGCUGCCUUAUUUUCCAAGCCGGGCUUAUAUACUACCUCGAAGGAAUAGCCAAGCAAUUUUGCAAUCCACUUAUGAUAUUGUGGCUGUAUGACCCUCUGUUCAAGUAAAAAUUUAAGGGAAUGCUGGUCAGUCUUGACUAUGAACUGCCUUCUGAUCAAAUAUGGCCGCCAACGUUGUACCGCCAACACUACUGCCAUCAACUCCCUCUCAUAAACCGGCUUGGCUCGGUCCCUCAUUGCCAAUGUGUGGCUAUAGAAAGCAAUAGGUCUCUUGUUUUGCAUCAGCACCGCUCCCUCUCCAUACCCAGAUGUGUUUGUUUCUAAUUCAAACGGUAUAUUGAAAUUGCGUAAAGCUAAUACUGGCAGAGUCAUCAUAAUAUUCUGUAACCUUAGGAAAGCUUUCUGAGCCUCAUCAUUCCAUUUAAAAGACCCCAACUUCAAUAACUAAGUUAAAGGUGCUGCAAUGGAACCAUAAUGUUGUACAAAUCGUCGAUAAUACCUGGUCAGUCCCAAAACUCCCCUAACUUCUCGUACAUUUGUUGGAAUUGGCCAUUGCUUGAUAGAUCUUAUCUUCUCCGGAUCUACCUCUACUCCUUCCCCAGACAAAAUGUGGUCUAAAUAUAUAUGCGAAACUACAUUUCUUUUUGUUAGCAUACAACUUGUGAGUUCUCAACACUUUUAAUACCAACUCCACAUGUUGACAAUGUUCUUCUACCCCUCUACUAUAAAUCAGGAUAUCAUCAAAGAAGACAAGGACAAAUUUCCUCAAAUAUCAUCUGAAAAUAUUAUUCAUCAAGGACUGAAAAGUUGCUGGUGAAUUAGUUAGCCCAAAAGGCAUUACUAGAAAUUCAUAGUGCCCUUCGUGCGUUCUAAAUGCUGUUUUUUCUAUAUCUUGGUUACACAUCCUAAUUUGGUGAUAACCAACUUUAAGAUCAAUUUUAGAAAACAGAUUUGCACCAUUUAAUUCAUCAAGCAGCUCCUCAAUAACAGGGAUAGGGAACUUAUCUGGAAUUGUUACGUUAUUGAGCACCGGGUAGUCAACACAAAACCUCCAACUCCCAUCUUUUUUUUCUCACCAAAAGCACCGGACUCGAAUAAGGACUUGUACUGGGACGAAUAAUUCCAGACGAUAAUAUUUCAUCUACUAGUUUCUCCAUCUCUUCCUUCUGUUGAAACAUGUACCUAUACGGUCUAACGUUUACUGGAUCUAUUCCUCCCUUCAAGUGUAUAUGAUGCUUGAUAUCCCUCCUUGGGGGUAAUUCUUCCAGCCACUCGAACACAUCCUUAUACCGUGCUAACACAGAUUGAACUUUCUCCUGCCUUGUGUUUGCCGCUUCCUCUUCCUGUCGGCCAAUAUCAAUAAUCCUUGCUUCCAAGGCUCUGCAUUCCACCAAAUAUCCUUGGUCCAAGUUGGUCCAAGACUUUUUCAAACUAACUUGAGUCUUUGUUAAACUGGGAUCCCCUUAAUUAUCACCUUCCUGUUUUCAUGAAAGAAGGUCAUGAUAAGGUUUUUCCAAUCCAUUUCAGUCACCCCUAAGGAGUAUAGCCAUUGCAUCCCAAGUAUUACAUCCACCCCUCCUAACUCCAAUGGCAAAAAAUUCUCUAUUACUUCCUAACCGUCAAGGUCAACUUCCACCUUCUCACAUAUCCCCCUCCCUUUAAUGGCAGUUCCCGAUCCAAAAAUAACUCCAUAAUUGGAGGUAUCCUUUGUGUUCAACUUCAGCAUCAACACCAGCUUGUCUGAAAUAAAAUUAUGCGUGGCUCCGCAAUCGAUCAACACAAUGACUUCUCUUCCUUGAAUUUUCCCUCUAACUUUCAUGGCACCAGGAUUCGUCAGCCCCACCACCGAAUUAAUACAUAAUUCGACUACCCCUUCUAUUUCGCUUUUCAACUCCAUAGUGCACAACUCCCUUUGCUCAUAUACGUCUUCCUCUAUAAUUUCUUCUUCUACAUUAUCUGCCCGAAUCACAAACAUUCGUAGCUCCCUUAUUUCUUUUGCCUUACAUUUAUGCCCCGAGUAGUAUUUCUCAUCACAUUUAAAACACAAUCCCUUCUCUCUCUUGGCUUGAAAUUCGACAUCUGAUAAACGCUUAGAUGGCCUUUCCUUUUUAUUCUCAUUGGUCGUUGAUCCUCUCAAUGUAAUGGUUCUUAUCGAAAAUACAACGUUACCUCUGUUUUUCUGAUAAUUAUUUGUUGCAUUCGACUUAGUAUGAACAUAGGGGUAAUAUGGGAAUUUCCCUCUAUUAUAUCUCGGUAAAUUUGCUUCCUUCCUUAAAAUCUCCCUAUUCUCUACCAUUUGAGCGUACUGCAUCAUUUGUGAAAACCUCACUAGUCGACAAAACUCUACUUCUUGGUAACAACCCUCCAAUAAAAGUUUCUUCCAAAAUUUUCUCCUGAAUAUCCGAUAAAGGGGCAACCAAUUAACAAAAAGAUUUCGAUAUUCCUCCGCACUUGAAGUUUGUUGUAUUUGCAGAAACUGGCCGGAAAGAGACCCUUUUUGUAUCGAACGAAAUCGGAUUAACAACUGUUCUUUCAUAUUUAACUAGUCAGUAAACUUAUCUCUCCUCCUGAAACCGAUACCAGUGUAGUGUCGGGCCCUCAAAACUAACCGUCGCUACCAGAAGCUUCUCGGAAUCAGUUAAUCUGUGUAUCUGAAAAUACCGAUCCACGCGAAACAGCCACAAGUCUGGAUCAUCUUCGUUGAAGACAGGCAUCUCAACUUUUAAAAAUUUUUGCUGAUCAGAAUUUUCGUCUUCUAUUUCACUUUUCUUCUCCUGAUUUUCGUUUUUGAUUUCUUUGCUUGUUGAACCUUCUCCUUCUUUAGAUUUCGUCGGUGAAGUUUCUUAUAAAAGAAAUCGAAAAUCGUGACCGUAUUAGCCCUUCGUUCCUCACAGAGGAAAGGAAUCAUAUUAAAAAAAAAGCAAGCUUCAUUGGCUAAAAGAAGGGGAUGAGAAGAUGCUAUUUUUAUAUUUAGGGCUUCCAUUGGGGAGUUAUCCAUGACAAGCUACUUUUUGGCAGUCCAUGAUUGAUAAUAGACAAAUGGAGAAGAUUUAAUCUGUCGAAGAGGAAGAGCAACUUUAUGCCAAUCCGUAUUGAUCAAUCUCCCCCCUUAUUAUAUGUCUUUGUUUGCAAUGCCGGACACUGGAGCCUCCUCUUUGGAGAGGCUAGUGAGGAAUUUUUCUGGGAGGGGCAUGGAAGCAAAAUCAACCACCUAGUUAAAUGGGCCAAAGUUAUUCGGCCUCAACUUGAUGGAGGUUUAGGUUUGGGAGCACUACAAAAUAAAAACUUGGCUUUCCUUGCCAAGUGGGGCUGGAGAUUUACGAAUGAAGAGGAUUCUUUAUGGAGGCAAGUUAUCCGAAGCAUCCAUGGAAAAGAACCAUUUAACUGGCACAUGGUUGGUAAUUCUGGUUAUAGCCUUAAAUGCCCUUGGAUUCGUAUCUCAAGAAUUUGGAGGAAGGUGGAGUCCUUGCCCUCUUUCAAACUUGGUGAUGGCUCAAGAAUUUCCUUCUGGGCAGAUGGGUGGAUUGAUAAUCUUUCAAACUUUUGUAAUUGCUGUGACUAGUUCUCAAACAUGGAACUUGUCCAGGGACUUGCAAUUAUAUUUUCAUCCCUUUCCCCUUCAGCCUAAAAGUGCGACGGUUUACAUUUCAUUUUUCAAUGAUUCUUUUGUGCGCCUUCAAAUUCCGCUUUAUAGUACAGCCAAAGUUUUGAGGAAAAAGCCAAGACUCAUGCGAGGUUAAUGCAUUAGCGACUCAAUUUGAGGAAUGUAUAAGGAACAUGAAAAUAAACAAAAGUUAAGGAAUGCCUCAUCAUGGUGUAUUUUGUCUUAAGGCAUUUGAAGACUAUUCCAUCUAGGAGUUUUAUUUGAAUUGGCGAGCCUUAACUUUUACAUCAUAGUCCUCUUGUAUUGUUGUAUUUUUUUUUUGUUCCUUCCUUGUUUGUACUCUCCCGCUAUUUGGGUGUCUAAUUUGGGCUGUGCAUAAGCCUAAGUUUUACUUGGUUAUAUUAGAUUCUUGGAUAUGAUGAGGACGCUAUGGGACUGUCAACCUAGUUGAGAUGUUCGGGUGUGUCUCCUGAUCCUUGGGCCUUUUUGUUCUAUGCUCUUUACAUAGUUCUUUUGUACUGUGAACAUUAGCCUCAUUUCUAUCAUUAAUGAAAUGGCUUGUUCUUUUUCAAAAAAAAGAAAAACCCAUUUGUUUGUGUGCAACAUUCAAAUUCCUUUUCUAAUUAAUUCUACCGUCUUUUUGGCUACAUAUAUUUGGAGUUCAUUUUUUGCAACUUCUAUAAGUAAUCCUUCUCACCCUACCACUUAAAAAUGUUUUACUUGUAUUAUUUGGUCGACUUUUCUAAAUCUUAAUGUUUGCAAUUUAAUAGAAUUUUACUUUCAUGAGUUGUCUGAAAGUUCUCACCAGGCACACAAGGGGAGAUAUGGCGAAAGCAACAUCUGUCCGCAGUAGAAUGUUUUAAUUAUUUAUUGAUGGGAUGCUUGUUACAAGCUAUAGCAUUAUAUUUGCUAUAUGAGAAAUUUCUAUAUUACUGAGUAAAUCAUAAUAAUUCAAAGUACAUAACGAUGUUUUACAUAGGAAAUAAAUAGACCUCAAAGUAACCUCCACAGGAAAAUUCAUAUAUGGAAAAUACCAAAAAGGAAAAUACUAAUAAUUCAUAAACCCUAAUUUUCCUUUAACAACUUCCCUCAAACUCAAGGUUCUAGAAUCUUGAACUUGAGUUUGCUAAGAAAACAUCUAAAUCAAAUCAGUAGAUCUAGGAUAGAACAAAAAACUUAUGAUGAACCAAACACACAAGAAACUUCUUGGCUAAAGACAAACCCACAAAGAACGAAACGAAGAACUUCUGAGAUAGAAGCAUAGAUCCUUGUAUAGAGAUCUAUAACAACAAAAUCUAGGAAGAACGGAAGAACUUAUGGGCAAUAACAAAGAUCCUCAUGGAGAGAGAUGUAAUAAAUGACAGAUGUUGCUGAUCACACACAAAAUUGAACUAGAUUAAUCUAAAUCGCACUUAUCUUGGGCCAACUGCCAUGGAUGCUGAAAUGGCUUUCUUAAUGGCCAACCAAGCAUUAGCGACAUCUGGAAAACUUGUCUUUGAUCCUUUUGUUGGCACUGGGAGCAUUCUUGUUGGCGCAGCUCAUUUUGGAGCAAUGACAAUGGUAACUACUUUAAGGACAUCACAAUUUAUCUCAUAAAGAAAUUGUCUGAUUUUACAACAUUUGGCUGAUAGAAAACAUGUGGGUGACUUAAUAUUCUAAAUUGAUAGCUUUGAACACAUUCCUCUGAAGUCUUUUACUUUCUUUCUCAUACAUGACUUAUGGGGCUACUUUUUCUAUGCAUUGGAUAUUAUAUUAUAAGUUCGGGUUCAAUCUUGUAGCGAACAUUCAUUGCAUUCAGGGAACUUAAUUUAAGGUAGUUUUCAGUUCCCAUAGAAUGCGUGUGAGAGAGAUACCAUUUGAAUUCAAACUGACCAAAAUGUAUCAGGGGGCAGACAUUGACAUUAGGGUGGUACGUGAUGGUUGUGGCCCUGAUUGUAAUGUUUGGAGCAACUUCAAGCAGGUAAAUAUGUUUUAUAAAUUCUUAGAACUCAAGGACACAAAUGUACCACCUAUAGAAUAAAUCCUGUUCAAGUAAGGUCAUGCUUUAUAAUAAAAUUCUACAAUUCUAGGUUUAGAAAUUUUGUUCAUGGUGCUAGUCUUGGUUUAUAAUGCUCUAUGUUGAAAGUUUGAAACUCUAUGACUAACAGUAAAAUACAUGUGAGGGUGACAAGCAUGAUAAAGGAUAACCGACUGUACUGCUAGUAUUUUGCAUGUGCAAUUUUCUGUGAUUCAACUGAUUAUGAUAAUAUCAAAUUUUGAUGCUUUAUGUUCCUAUGUAUGAUCAUAGAUGUUUCAUGCUGUAAUGGUACUAAUCUGUUUAUUACUGCUUGCAGUAUGGAUUACCACCUCCAAUUGCACUGUUAAGAGCAGAUAAUAAUCUUCCUCCCUGGCGUCCAGGAUUGAAGGAGGUACAGCAGCAAUAUUUGCACCAGUACUAUUUAUUUAUUUUUCGUGGUGCUGAAGUUUCACUACCCUUGUUAUAUACUGAUGGUCACUAAUUCCUGUGGAUACUGCUUAACAUCUUUUUACAGAUUUUCAUUUACUUUUUAUUUUUCUUAACAAGAACCUAAUUUUUUUGUUGAGUAAAUGUUUCAAUGAUUAAAUGAAAAGUGACUGAUGCCUAAAGAAAAAAUGUAAAGUCAUAUGGAAGUGAAUAAGGAACAUAAAUGAGAAAAAAAAAGUCAGAAGUAUUCCAAAAAAAAAAAAACUGAAAGAAUAAUCUUACAAAGAACUUGAGGCGCCAAUCAAAUUUGUAUCUUCAAAAACCAUAAGAGCUUAGAGAACAAAAAAAAAAAAAAAGAACUUAUUUAAAUAUUUUAAAGAGCUUUGAGUUUUGAGGUGGAAAAAUUGUUCUCUUUGUGUUGUUUUUUUCCCCUGUUUUGUGGGGCUGUUUUGGAUAUGUUGUUUUUGGUUUUGGAUCUUUGGUGGUUUGUUUUUAUUUCCUUUGGUGCUUUGUUUUCAUUUCCUUUGGUGCUUUGUUGUCAUUUCUUUUAGUGCUUUUUUUUUUCUUCCUCUGUUUGUGUUUGAACUCCAGUAUGUUGUACUUCAAUAGUAAACUUUAUUGAUGAAUAACGAUGUAAAUCCUUAGUAGAAUAUAAGAAUACAAAGUCUCUCCAACUGUUAUGCUAUCUUUUAAGGAUUAAACAAAAGACUCACUAAUCUCUUUUAGUAACUAACUUUCUGUCCAAAACAGAUUUCCUAUUUAUAUUUCAACUAACCGACCUACUGCCUGACUCAUUGACCCCUGGCCUUCUCACUAAGUAACUGCCCCUCUCAAUGUCCUGAGUUUAAUGUGGAGGAGCAAGCCAUUUGUUCCGUUGGGCUAACCAAAUCCAAGCCUGGUGUUUUUGUUGAGGCAAUACAACAUCUUUUAAUUCUAGCUACACCAGCAGAGGUAAUAAUUUCCCAACACUGCUUUUUUCCUUUAUGUGUUACUUUUGUCUUUUAGACUGGUAUACAUUGUCUGAUCAUGCAAAACUCAACAAUAAUCAAGACUUUAAACUGGUCUAAAUCGAUUGAUCAUGUAAAGUGACAAAGUCAAAACUAGCACAUAGUACCUAGAGCUACUCUGUUGAUUUGGCUGGUUUUCUGCACUAUAUCAUUAAGUUAGGCCACUUGGAUGUUGGGACCUCUUGGUUAGAAAAUUCUUUCUAACAAGCAGGCUCAACCUCUUCAUAAGUCAUUCC
Molecule: long non-coding RNA, 9112 nt
Filed under: Cucumis sativus (cucumber)
Lineage: Eukaryota; Viridiplantae; Streptophyta; Magnoliopsida; Cucurbitales; Cucurbitaceae
Description: long non-coding RNA (CSAT_LNC002719)
Source: RNAcentral